AGAGUUUGAUCCUGGCUCAGGAUGAACGCUGGCGGUGCGCCUAACACAUGCAAGUCGAACGAAGGAUUGUGAAGGAACUUUACGGAGGGAAAACACAAUGACUGAGUGGCGGACGGGUGAGUAACGCGUAGGGAACCUGGCCCUUACAGGUGGAUAACAGAUGGAAACAACUGCUAAUACCGCAUAAGCGCCCAGCCUCGCAUGAGGCAGAGUGAAAAACUAAGGUGGUAAGGGAUGGCCCUGCGUCCGAUUAGCUAGUUGGUAUGGUAACGGCAUACCAAGGCGACGAUCGGUAGCCGGCCUGAGAGGGUGGACGGCCACAUUGGGACUGAGACACGGCCCAAACUCCUACGGGAGGCAGCAGUGGGGGAUAUUGCACAAUGGGGGAAACCCUGAUGCAGCGACACCGCGUGGGUGAAGAAGCGCUUCGGUGUGUAAAGCCCUAUCAGUGGGGAAGAAAAAGGACGGUACCCAAAGAAGAAGCACCGGCUAAAUACGUGCCAGCAGCCGCGGUAAUACGUAUGGUGCAAGCGUUAUCCGGAAUGACUGGGUGUAAAGGGAGCGUAGACGGUUGUACAAGUCUGAUGUGAAAGCCCACGGCUCAACUGUGGGAGUGCAUUGGAAACUGUAGAACUAGAGUAUCGGAGAGGCAAGUGGAAUUCCUAGUGUAGCGG
RNAcentral lists this ribosomal RNA (674 nucleotides) under uncultured bacterium. RNAcentral describes it as "bacterial SSU rRNA". It matches the Rfam family "Bacterial small subunit ribosomal RNA", at positions 8 to 681 of the family's 1533-position model. The record is from RNAcentral.